RNAcentral lists this ribosomal RNA (322 nucleotides) under uncultured eukaryote. RNAcentral's name for it is "partial 18S ribosomal RNA". It matches the Rfam family "Eukaryotic small subunit ribosomal RNA", at positions 1470 to 1796 of the family's 1831-position model. The record is from RNAcentral.
CCCUUAGAUGUUCUGGGCCGCACGCGUGCUACACUGAGUAAUUCAAUGGGUAAGGGAACGCUAGAGCAUUACCUAAUCUUGAAAUUUGCUCGUGAUGGGGAUCGACGGUUGCAAUUUUCCGUCGUGACCGAGGAAUACCUUGUAGGCGCAUGUCAUCAUCAUGCGCCGAAUACGUCCCUGCCCUUUGUACACACCGCCCGUCGCUCCUACCGAUUGAGUGAUCCGGUGAGGCUCUGGGACCUGGACGGAAAGAGCGUUUCGCUUGUUCUGUUUGGGAAACUUGGUCGAACCUUAUCAUUUAGAGGAAGGAGAAGUCGUAACA